RNAcentral lists this long non-coding RNA (504 nucleotides) under Danio rerio (zebrafish). RNAcentral describes it as "lncRNA sox2ot (ENSDARG00000095844.3)". The record is from RNAcentral. Lineage: Eukaryota; Metazoa; Chordata; Actinopteri; Cypriniformes; Danionidae.
GAGAGGAGAAAAGUAUCGGCUCAUCUCUCCGGCCGCAGCCUUCCUCUGGGCAUCACAAGAUCCAGUCUUCAUCGCAGUACCGCCGAGGAAGGAGGACGUCCGCUUUCUGCUCUUGUCGGGAAUCUAAGAAGGGACCAUACUUCCCUUACGGAGGAGCUGCCGAUGGUUCAUUUCUUCAUGCACAGGCAGCCAGAAGAUGGCGUGGAGCUGCAGAGGGGCUGAGGCGGGUGAGAGCAGCCGCGCUGAGAGCACUCUGAGCGGGCACACGGAGCGACUGGACGCUAUGGAUCAUGAGAGCGGCUGCCGGAAAACUGCGCGGCCGGAAAAAGCGACUCCUCGCUGGGCGCGCAUGGGAGGAUCCGGCCGGCAGGCGCGGGGAACUUUUGGAUGUGUCAGUCAAAUGGAAACGAGGAGCGACACCACAGCGUUUAUGUUUUGCCUGUAAAUCUCUGCUCUGCUUGGGGACAUAAAACGGCCCAAAUGCAAUGAAGAACGCACGUCAAG